GCCUUCGUAGCUCAGUUGGGAGAGCGCUUGCCACAUAGAGGCAUGGUGUUUCUGUUGCUGGUUCGAAUGCAGCCGAAGCCC
Molecule: non-coding RNA, 81 nt
Organism: Paragonimus heterotremus
Lineage: Eukaryota; Metazoa; Platyhelminthes; Trematoda; Plagiorchiida; Troglotrematidae
Source: the annotation of a GenBank genome assembly